CGGUGCUCUCGAUCUCCUGCAAGAUCCGCUCGUGCUCCGGGACGGUGCCCAGACCCUCGCCAUUCUCCGCCAUCUUGGCUGGAAGCUGAGGAGCCGGAAUCAACAUGUGACUGAUCUGAGUACACACUGGCUUAGAAGAUCAAGGAAGCUCUGCUACAUCCAACUGCCCAUUCUGCCAAGAAACACCAUCAGAAGCCUAUUUCCACUGUCUCAAUGGUACAGAAGAAUCCAGAUCUUCUCUGGGAAAUCACACUUUCUCAAGAUGUAAAAAUAUGCCAAAGGAAAAAAAAAGUCUUCCUGAGGCCACCAGCACUGUCACACUAUGUUAAAGACCUGACGUUCAGAGAUGACUUUUUUUUUUUUUUUAAUUUUGCAAUUUUGUAUAGUUCCCCCUUGGAGUUCUGCAUGUGGCUGAGAGAAAGGGGUUUUGAAACCAGACAAUGCUGAAGAUCAGAAGCCACUGGAAAGAAUUCAGGAUGAGUUAGAAAGGAGCAUUCCAAACAGUUCUGAGCAUAAGGCAAGAAUUUGAUUAAUCUGUGAUUGGUAACAAUUUGGAAUUAGAAUAAUAGCAAAUCGUAAAAAGUUUUUUCAAACUUACUGUUUAUAUACUGGCAUUAAACACAGCAUUUUAUAUAGUUGUAUUCAGUUGUCUUAAUAGAAAUCUCUAGUAUUAACAGCAAAUGUGUACCUCAAAUUCCAUGAUGCCACUUUUAUCAAGAGCCUCAAUGCAAGAAACAAUAUUUAUGGACUUUUGUCAGAGGAUAUAAACUUCAUCCAUUCCUCUGGUUAUUUAAAAUUUUAUCUGUGAGUCAAGCCAAGUCCCUGUACCUAGACCCCACUGUUUGGGCCCUUCAUGCCAUUGUUUUUAUUGAGUUCUAAAAAACUGAAUAUUUUUCUUAGCUGACUGUGUCUCCAAGUAUCAACAACCACAAUCUGGUGUUAGUACAUCUGAAUUUCAGGUUCAGCUCUUGAGAAGGGAAAAUAAACCUUUUGAAAAUUGAACCUGAAACCAAAACAUAUGAAAUGAAGACAACAUUUGUAUCUUCCUACAAAGAGAAUGCAAAGCCAUUUCUCCCUGCAGGAAAUGGCAGACUCUUAGCUCAGUCAAUGUGCAGAAUUCAUUGUUCUGAAGAGUAAAGCAAGGUGAAGAGAGCAGGGCAAGUGGUAUAGGCCACCCUCUUAUUUGGCAGCUGUCUCCUAAUGGAGCGUUCCUUUCCUGAGCAUUCAUUAGCCAAGACUUUUUCCGCUUCUCUUCACCAAUCCUGACACCAUCUACCCAGACCCAGACCCUGUUCUGGGAAGCCAGUCCUGCUUUGCUACUCCUCACUCCAGGCCUAUUUCAACACCUGCCCAUAGAGAUUACUUCAACAUAAGCAGCGGCAUCUUCCCCUCAAGUCAAGUCAAGACAGAAGGAAGUCCUUAUUACCACUUCUCCUUCCGAAGCAGCUUUUGCUGGUUCCCUUUAUGACUGCUGACAUUUCCGUUAGCACCUGAAAUUUUUUGCUAAGAACUUAAAGCUAAAUGUUCUAAAUAACUAUGUAAAUUCAAAUUUUAGACAUAGAUAUAACAAAUGUAUAAAUGUGCAAAAAAAAGCCUAUUAUAAUUCUAUUCUAAGUGAUACAUUUCUAAAAGACCAAAAUAAAAACCAUAGUAGCUAUA
This is a long non-coding RNA of Herpailurus yagouaroundi (jaguarundi), 1659 nucleotides long. RefSeq lists it as uncharacterized. The record is from RefSeq and is a predicted model, not a curated record. The transcript has 2 exons. NCBI's taxonomy places the organism in Eukaryota, Metazoa, Chordata, Mammalia, Carnivora, Felidae.